Molecule: long non-coding RNA, 490 nt
Organism: Pteropus alecto (black flying fox)
Lineage: Eukaryota; Metazoa; Chordata; Mammalia; Chiroptera; Pteropodidae
Exons: 4
Source: RefSeq, a predicted model, not a curated record
CUUGGCCCCUGCUCGCCUCUCCUCCGCCGUGAACCCCUCCUGGACUCGCGUUCCCCGGCUGCGGUCCGCAGCUGUCUCACCAGGUGGAGCAGCCUGUGUGGGUCGUCAGGCUCCCACAGGAAUGGCCAGAAGGGGCUAGGUCACUGGGGUGCAGCGGAAACAAAGCUGAUGCGAGCAUGCGUAGGACUGAGAGAGCCCUGGACCAGAGGACCCUGAUUUGCUGUUUGUUCACCUCCAGCACAGGUGGGGCUUCAGAUAACCUGCUGGACCUUUCCCACAUUGGAUGACGGUGAAGGGGCCAUGUGUCAAGGAAAUAAAAGUCCUACAACCAAAGGGAUUGAAUUCUUCUAACAACCUGAAUGAUCUUAGAAGCAGAGUCUUUGCCAGGAUCUCCAGAAAAGAGCUCAGCCCAACUGACACCUUGAACAGAAGACCCAACUGAGUAAUGCUGUGCCUAGAUUUCUGACUCACAGAACUGUGAGAUAAUAAA